Molecule: long non-coding RNA, 661 nt
Organism: Argentina anserina (silverweed cinquefoil)
Lineage: Eukaryota; Viridiplantae; Streptophyta; Magnoliopsida; Rosales; Rosaceae
Exons: 3
Source: RefSeq, a predicted model, not a curated record
GGAUUUCCGAAUUAUUUAUAAUGAUUUUUCCAAAGUUUGGAAAUAUCAAGAAUUUAUUUGGAAAAUCUGGAAUUUGUAAUGGUGCGAUCUUGGCCGAGAAAAUUGAUCAAGUUAUCUCAACCAUUGGAUUUGAGCCACAUAUUUAUAUUGGUGAGAUAAGUAUUCAUUCUGUAGCUUUUUUGGGAGAAACAGAUCAACCCUUGCAACCUCCUAUCGCGACCAGCGAGACCAUCGAUCCUUCUCCGCCGUUAGCUUUUCUCCGGCCGCCGCUUCACCUCCAUUCAAGUCCCGUCAUCGCCGCCGACGCUCUCAGCCCCAGUUUCUCCCGACCGGCGACCAUGGAUGAAGGAUUUGCGGUGAGCGGUGUCAAGCUUUCGGGUGCCAUCGACGUUCUCUUCUCUUUUUUGUAUUGAAGCAAGAUUAUGAGCUUGGAGCUUAGAUUGAAAUCAGGUCUGGUAGUGGGAGAUAUCAAAGGAAGUGAAGCUGAAACUUGGUUAGAAAUCAGUGACCAGAGACCAGCGACACCGUGACGCGCUUAAGCUGAAGAUGUGAAGUUUGGGGUGUUACACAGAAUAGCAAGCAGUGGAGAAUCUUUCCAGCAGUGGCGUCACGAAGUCUUGACCUGUGGAUCUACAUGUAUUCUUCCACUUAACAAUGUGUC